Molecule: long non-coding RNA, 1360 nt
Filed under: Bemisia tabaci
Lineage: Eukaryota; Metazoa; Arthropoda; Insecta; Hemiptera; Aleyrodidae
Description: lncRNA ENSSWEETPG003444
Source: RNAcentral
AUGUGCGCCAAGGGUACGGAAGAUCGUGAUGGCAUCCGAAAAGACGCGAUGCGAGUGUGUUGCGCCAGCUGCUACGGUCAUGCCGAUCUAAUUUUUAAGUUCCUUCGUAUAACCGUCGAGGCACAACGCAGGUCGAUCGUCAAGUUCUAUCAAGAGAGAGAGAGUAGAUCGUUAUCUACUCUCUCUCUCUCUACUCUAUAUCUUGUAUGUCAAUGGAGGUAUCGCCUUAUGGACAUCAAAAAGGAGGAUCUAGCAAUCUGGCAACACCAAAUUCCCUCCAUUUAAACCUAUGUCAAUAUAUAUUCUUGUCAGAGCACCUGGCCCCUCCAAGAAUCGAUACAUUUCCAUAGGUUUCAAUGCAGAAAAACAAUUUUGUCAACUCGCUGGAUCCGUCAAUGGUCUUACUAGAUCGACGGAGAAUCUUCUUUUUCAUCGUAAACUUAAAACAGGAGGAAGUUUUACAGGCGAUUCCGUUUUCCUGCGAAUUUCGAUAAUUUUGAAGUUAGUAAUGUAGCUUUUAAGGGUUCAAGGUGAAACCAACCUAUGAAUUCAAAUUAUUCAGAGUGAUUUUAUAAUGGAGAUGUUGCAUGUGUGAGGGAUUUGCAAUUUGACUGUUGUUUCUUAUGCAAAAGUUUGCGAGAACCACGAUGGUGCCACUGGCUUUCCCUGAAAUCAACUCUCACGCUCAAAAAAAGCUCUCAAAGUGAGGCCAAAAAGGAGAGGAUAUCCCGCCCUACCCUGAGAGUCCAGUCCACCUCUACAUCAAACAAUCUCUCCAUGCAAAGAUAGGGAGCUAAUACAUUGACAGGGCUGCCACUUUAUUUGGGGACUCCAAAACUGAAAACACGGCAAGCCUCCUAAUGUAUUUACUCCCUAUCUUUGCAUGGAGAGAUUGUUUUGAUGUAGAGGUGGACUAUCAGGGUAGGGCGGAUAUCCCCUCCAUUUUGGCCUCACUUUGAGAGCUUUUUUUGAGCUUGGGAAAUGAUUUCAGAGAAAACCAGUGGCACCAUCGUGUUUCUCGCGAACUUUUACAUAAGAAUUAACAGUCUAAUCGCAAAUCCCUCACACGUGCAACAUCUCCAUUGUUACGGCCCGUCGUUUGUAAAGCACUAUUUGACCUAGUUUUUGGAAGAACUUACUCGUUUUCGCGGAAGAACGCUCGUUCAUGAACAUUCUUCACUAUCUUGGUUUGGUAUUAGAAUUGGAAGAUCGGCAGUGAUUUUUUUUGUGGAAGAAGGUUGGUUGCCCUUUUGGGCCCCAAGAGCUUCAUUUUUUUGACAUGCCCGCACUCUUCCUAUACAGGGAGACCCCUGACCCAGUAGACUGCAGGGGCGUGUUCUAUGAGUCAAUAAAGACUCUU